ACAUUAUCGGAGUAGUUAAAAUUGAAACUGAUUUUUGUUUCAAACGAUCUCUUAGCUGAUUUUCUUCAUCAAUUUUAUCUAAUCCAGUCUCUACUGCAUCAUAGAAUUCUUCAUCACAAAGAGCACUAUGUGGACCUUCCUUAAACAUUAAAAUUUUUUUUUACUAUGUUAUGUUUUUUUAAAGAUAUUUUGUUAAUUAAUAAAAUCGAACCUCAUAAUCUGGACCUCCAUGAAUAAGAACUCUAGGUCUAGGAAAGUCACUUUGUUGCAUUGUAACUUGUUCUUUCAAAGCUUUGUAAAGUUCUUGCACUUUUCGUUUUCUCUCGAUUUCUUUUUCCCAUCUACGACGCCAUGCAUCUUCUCGUUGCACCAUUAAUUCAACACAAUGCUGUAAUGUUGCUAGCACACCUUCACUUGUCGCUUUAAAUGUUAUUGCUUCCCCUUUAAAGUCCACAGACUGUUCAGCUGGAUUAAACAUUGUCUCCACUUUAUUUUCUGAAACAAUUUUCCCAUUCACUUUCGUGGAAAUAUUUUUAGCAUUUUCUGCACAAUUAUCAAAAUAUUUCUGCAAAGUAUCAAUUUGUUUGAUCAGAAUAUCUCUGAAAGUUUCAAGUUCUGCUAACUUUUCCUUUAGUCCUCUAACUCCACGUUUAGUGAAGCUACCUGCACUUGUAAUAGAUUGUGUAUUUGAUAUAAGUGAAAUGGCACUACCAUGUCGCUUCAAACUGUUUUCACUUCCAUAACCUGAUUCCGACUGUUUAAAGCAAACAUAUAUAUUUUUUAAUAGAACAAAGAAACAUUAGAUUUAUCCAAUAAGUUACUUAAUUUAUAUAAUAAAAUUUUAGUACCUUAUAAGAUUUCAAAACAUCCACCCAACGCUGCUUUUCUUCUGGGUUACUUGCUCUCAAAUACCAUACUAAGCAAUCGUUUACAGACACAUCGAAUCUACAUUCAUCAAAUUCGUGAGCCUAAUAAAACAAAUAGUAUACAGUAAUAUCAUGAGUUUUUUACCAAUUUUAUCAGAGAAUUAAAUCUUAUAGGAGACUGAUUCCUUUAUGCCAAUUCAUACCUUAAUAUUAGCUUUAUAUAAGCUUAUUGAACCUCGACAUCCAAAUCCACUGUCCUGCUCAGAUUUGUAAUAAGAUAAAGUACCAUCUUUGAGAACAAUAAAUCUAGUUUGCCAGCCAUGUAUAUAAUUUGUCCAUUUGGAUAAUGUACCCUGAAGUUCUGGAACCACAACUCCAUCUGAACCUUCUUCAUCUACAUCAUCAGCAUCUAUCUCUCCUUCCAUACAUUCAAUAUCGUCGUUGGCAAGUCGAAUCGUUUCUGUUUCAUCGGCCAUUCUUGCGAGUAAAUCUCACUUCCAGAAUCAAUUACUUUUAAAAUAAACUUAACAUAUCCAAAUAAUAUCUUUAAAGUUACUCUAACGCGGGAUAAUCUAUCGAUAGUUAUUCUACAGUUACAGUAAUUUGAAAAUUGCAAAGUAAUUAACCAGUAAUUGUUCACAAAAUAAGUUUCAGAACAUAUUGAUCGUUAAUAAUCAUAUGUAUUGUUAUAUAAAAUGUCUUAUCAAAUAAAUGAGACAUCAACAGCUUGUAUUUUUCGGCAAAUAACAAGACUAAGUGCCAAAUAAGAAAAUCAACAGUUUUAUUUAAGCAGUAUUUUCAUGAAUGUCAUAUGUGCGCUAUAAUCUUUCUUGAUUGGUCAUAUUCUUGAAAAUUAAAUAUUUUUAACAUUCCUUA
Molecule: unclassified non-coding RNA, 1742 nt
Filed under: Bombus terrestris (buff-tailed bumblebee)
Lineage: Eukaryota; Metazoa; Arthropoda; Insecta; Hymenoptera; Apidae
Description: misc RNA ENSBTSG00005037819.1
Source: RNAcentral